AUUUAAGGAUGUUCGGCUAAAUACGCAACAUCCUGUUGCAACGCCGAACUGACCCACAUUCUGUGGC
Molecule: small RNA, 67 nt
Filed under: Piscibacillus halophilus
Lineage: Bacteria; Bacillati; Bacillota; Bacilli; Caryophanales; Bacillaceae
Description: Piscibacillus sp. HS224 Bacillaceae-1 RNA
Rfam family: Bacillaceae-1 RNA
Source: Rfam by way of RNAcentral